UGUUAUUUUUGUUGUAGGUGUGUUGGUGUAAAAAGUGAUGCUGACUGAACUCAGGCAGUUGUGCUGGACCCUCUGUACCUUAUACAGGAGAUGACUGUAAACUUUGAAGUUUAAGAGGUUCUGUAAUUUUGGUUAUAAGUACAAGGUGUGUUGGUGUAAAAAUUGAUGCUGACUGAACUCAGGCAGUUGUGCUGGACCAUCUGUACUUAAUACAGGGAAUGACAGUAAACUUCCACGUUUAAGAGCCACCUGAUGAUGAGAGAGACAAUUUCAAUAAGAAAAGUCCACAGUCACAAUAACAAGAUCAUUGGGCUGUCCCCUAAUUGUGGUGAGCUACAUGUUUAGUCUCUUAUGUGCUAAACAUUAUGUAGCCUAAGGAAGCAGCCCUGACUCUGGAGUUUAUAUGAAGGAGCGUGCUGAGUAACUAUCCAAAAUGUAGGUCCAAAGCAGAAAAAAGAGCACCAAGCAGAAACAUACCAUCUAAACUCCUUCGAUUCCUGUCAGACCAGAAAGACUUUCAGAAACCUUGGAAGAUUUAAAG
Non-coding RNA from Danio rerio (zebrafish), 541 nucleotides. Lineage: Eukaryota; Metazoa; Chordata; Actinopteri; Cypriniformes; Danionidae. The record is from Ensembl.